AUGAUUUCACUUUUCUUCCACAGAGAGAAGUUAAGUAAGAGGGCUUUGGGUCAAGAUUGUGACUGGAUUCAAAUCCUAAAGUUUUCACUACAUUGUGUGCCCGUGGCCAGACUUCUUCAGCUUUUGCUAACUCCUAAAGCCACUACAGCAUUCCAACUGAUUCCAUCCAACAGUCCGGUGAUCCAGCUCUCUGUGAGAUUGCUAAUGACAGAAUCACCAUCUCCCAUGGCCACUCUUCAACCCCCUCCUGUGAUGGUUCUGGUCGCUUUGAUGCUUUGGCUAUUCUUUCCUUUUGAAACUUUCUCCUAAUUUGGCUUUUGUGACGCCGCACUCUCGCAGCCUAAUUCUAAUUAUUAAAUUGUUCCUUCUCAGCCCCCAUCGCUAGAUUUUCUUCUAACCACUUCUUAAAUAUUCGUGUUCUGGAUUCUACCCUCAGCCUAUUCUCCUCCCUUCUUUCUGGUUUUAACUGCAGUCCAUCAAGAAUGCCCAAAUCUGUAUAUCCAUCUCCAAACUUGAGAUCUAGUUUUAUAUUUUGAAUUGUUCACUUGGCAUUUCCACCUACUUUUCUUUUAAAUAACUCAAACUCUGUAAGUUCCAACUGAAAUUAUUGUCCAAAUGUCAGAAUUCUGAUUUUCGUCAUCUAUUUCCUGUCUCAAUUAGCAAUCUAUCCUUAGCCCAGUCAUCCAAGGUAGAUAUUUGUGAAAAAUUCUUUCUGUCAUUUUUCUCUCUCAAUCCCUACAUAAAUAAACCACCAUGUUUGUAAUUAGUACCAAUUAAAUAAUUGUCAAAUUACCCUCUGUUCUCCAUUUUGUUGAAGUAGGUUUAGUUUGGACCCUCAUUUUCUUUUUUUUCCUAGAAUAUUUUUUAUAUCUUCAUAAAUAGGUCCUCUGUCUAAGAUCUGGACAUCCCUCUUGUCUGUUAUUCACACUGCUGCUGUAGUCAUCACACUGUUAUCAAUACUAUAUAUAGCACAAUUCAAAGAGCAUUUCCUGAUUAGGAUGGCAGCAUGAGCAUAGC
This 1017-nucleotide long non-coding RNA is filed under the name Macaca fascicularis (crab-eating macaque). RNAcentral describes it as "lncRNA (ENSMFAG00000046479.2)". The record is from RNAcentral. Lineage: Eukaryota; Metazoa; Chordata; Mammalia; Primates; Cercopithecidae.